AUUGAACGCUGGCGGAAUGCUUUACACAUGCAAGUCGAACGGCAGCACGGACUUCGGUCUGGUGGCGAGUGGCGAACGGGUGAGUAAUGUAUCGGAACGUGCCCAGUCGUGGGGGAUAACGUAGUGAAAAUUACGCUAAUACCGCAUACGAUCUAUGGAUGAAAGCGGGGGAUCGCAAGACCUCGCGCGAUUGGAGCGGCCGAGAUCAGAUUAGGUAGUUGGUGGGGUAAAGGCCCACCAAGCCAACGAUCUGUAGCUGGUCUGAGAGGACGACCAGCCACACUGGAACUGAGACACGGUCCAGACUCCUACGGGAGGCAGCAGUGGGGAAUUCUGGACAAUGGGCGAAAGCCUGAUCCAGCCAUUCCGCGUGCAGGAUGAAGGCCCUCGGGUUGUAAACUGCUUUUGUACAGAACGAAAAGGUUUCUACUAAUACUAGGAGCUCAUGACGGUACUGUAAGAAUAAGCAUCGGCUAACUACGUGCCAGCCGCCGCAGUAA
Molecule: ribosomal RNA, 500 nt
Filed under: uncultured bacterium
Lineage: Bacteria
Description: partial 16S ribosomal RNA
Rfam family: Bacterial small subunit ribosomal RNA
Source: RNAcentral